GAUGAGGGGAAUGCUGUCUGGUUCGAGACCAUUCUUUUGAAGCCGAAAACACCAUGGAAUGAUUUCGGACCAGGCUUCAUUCCCCCCAAC
Lupinus angustifolius (narrow-leaved blue lupine) is the source of this 90-nucleotide microRNA precursor. It matches the Rfam family "mir-166 microRNA precursor family". From Rfam's summary of the family: This family represents the plant microRNA (miRNA) precursor mir-166. Animal miRNAs are transcribed as ~70nt precursors and subsequently processed by the Dicer enzyme to give a ~22nt product. The record is from Rfam. NCBI's taxonomy places the organism in Eukaryota, Viridiplantae, Streptophyta, Magnoliopsida, Fabales, Fabaceae.